AUUGAACGCUGGCGGCAUGCUUUACACAUGCAAGUCGAACGGCAGCGCGGGCUUCGGCCUGGCGGCGAGUGGCGAACGGGUGAGUAAUACAUCGGAACGUGCCCAGAAGUGGGGGAUAGCUCGGCGAAAGCCGGAUUAAUACCGCAUACGACCUGAGGGUGAAAGCGGGGGAUCUUCGGACCUCGCGCUAUUGGAGCGGCCGAUGGCAGAUUAGCUAGUUGGUGGGGUAAAGGCCUACCAAGGCGACGAUCUGUAGCUGGUCUGAGAGGACGACCAGACACACUGUGAGUGAGACACGGCACAGACUCUGACGGGAGGCAGCAGUGGGGAAUUUUGGACAAUGGGCGAAAGCGUGAUCCAGCAAUGCCGGGUGUGUGAUGAAGGCCUUAUGGUUGUAAAGCACUUUUGGCGGGAACGAAAAGGACUGUGCCAAUACCACGGUUCGAUGACGGUACCCGCAGAAUAAGCACCGGCUAACUACGUG
RNAcentral lists this ribosomal RNA (484 nucleotides) under uncultured bacterium. Its description in RNAcentral is "partial 16S ribosomal RNA". It matches the Rfam family "Bacterial small subunit ribosomal RNA", at positions 29 to 507 of the family's 1533-position model. The record is from RNAcentral.